RNAcentral lists this transfer RNA (73 nucleotides) under Caudoviricetes sp. RNAcentral's name for it is "tRNA-Lys". It matches the Rfam family "tRNA". From Rfam's summary of the family: Transfer RNA (tRNA) molecules are approximately 80 nucleotides in length. Their secondary structure includes four short double-helical elements and three loops (D, anti-codon, and T loops). Further hydrogen bonds mediate the characteristic L-shaped molecular structure. tRNAs have two regions of fundamental functional importance: the anti-codon, which is responsible for specific mRNA codon recognition, and the 3' end, to which the tRNAs corresponding amino acid is attached (by aminoacyl-tRNA synthetases). tRNAs cope with the degeneracy of the genetic code in two manners: having more than one tRNA (with a specific anti-codon) for a particular amino acid; and 'wobble' base-pairing, i.e. permitting non-standard base-pairing at the 3rd anti-codon position. The record is from RNAcentral. Lineage: Duplodnaviria; Heunggongvirae; Uroviricota; Caudoviricetes.
ACUCCUUUAGCUCAGUGGCUGGAGCAUCAGAUUUUUAAUCUGAGGGUCAUGGGUUCGAAUCCCAUAGGGGGUA